This 253-nucleotide ribosomal RNA is filed under the name uncultured bacterium. RNAcentral's name for it is "partial 16S ribosomal RNA". It matches the Rfam family "Bacterial small subunit ribosomal RNA", at positions 524 to 776 of the family's 1533-position model. The record is from RNAcentral.
GACGAACCGUGCGAACGUUAUUCGGAUUCACUGGGCUUAAAGGGCGCGUAGGCGGGCCAUCAAGUCCGGGGUGAAAUACUUCGGCUCAACCGGAGAACAGCCUUGGAUACUGAUGGUCUCGAGGGAGAUAGGGGUGCGUGGAACUUCCGGUGGAGCGGUGAAAUGCGUAGAUAUCGGAAGGAACGCCGGUGGCGAAAGCGGCGCACUGGAUCUCUUCUGACGCUGAGGCGCGAAAGCUAGGGGAGCGAACGGG